CUGAGAAACUUAGCUCCACCGAAAGAAAAGGAGUGGCGAACGGGUGAGUAACACGUGGGUAACCUGCCCAUCAGAAGGGGAUAACACUUGGAAACAGGUGCUAAUACCGUAUAACAAUCGAAACCGCAUGGUUUCGGUUUGAAAGGCGCUUUUGCGUCACUGAUGGAUGGACCCGCGGUGCAUUAGCUAGUUGGUGAGGUAACGGCUCACCAAGGCAACGAUGCAUAGCCGACCUGAGAGGGUGAUCGGCCACAUUGGGACUGAGACACGGCCCAAACUCCUACGGGAGGCAGCAGUAGGGAAUCUUCGGCAAUGGACGCAAGUCUGACCGAGCAACGCCGCGUGAGUGAAGAAGGUUUUCGGAUCGUAAAACUCUGUUGUUAGAGAAGAACAAGGAUGAGAGUAGAAUGUUCAUCCCUUGACGGUAUCUAACCAGAAAGCCACGGCUAACUACGUGCCAGCAGCCGCGGUAAUACGUAGGUGGCAAGCGUUGUCCGGAUUUAUUGGGCGUAAAGCGAGCGCAGGCGGUUUCUUAAGUCUGAUGUGAAAGCCCCCGGCUCAACCGGGGAGGGUCAUUGGAAACUGGGAAACUUGAGUGCAGAAGAGGAGAGUGGAAUUCCAUGUGUAGCGGUGAAAUGCGUAGAUAUAUGGAGGAACACCAGUGGCGAAGGCGGCUCUCUGGUCUGUAACUGACGCUGAGGCUCGAAAGCGUGGGGAGCAAACAGGAUUAGAUACCCUGGUAGUCCACGCCGUAAACGAUGAGUGCUAAGUGUUGGAGGGUUUCCGCCCUUCAGUGCUGCAGCUAACGCAUUAAGCACUCCGCCUGGGGAGUACGACCGCAAGGUUGAAACUCAAAGGAAUUGACGGGGGCCCGCACAAGCGGUGGAGCAUGUGGUUUAAUUCGAAGCAACGCGAAGAACCUUACCAGGUCUUGACAUCCUUUGACCACUCUAGAGAUAGAGCUUCCCCUUCGGGGGCAAAGUGACAGGUGGUGCAUGGUUGUCGUCAGCUCGUGUCGUGAAAAUGUUGGGUUAAGUCCCGCAACGAGCGCAACCCUUAUUGUUAGUUGCCAUCAUUUAGUUGGGCACUCUAGCGAGACUGCCGGUGACAAACCGGAGGAAAGGUUGGGGAUGACGUCAAAUCAUCAUGCCCCUUAUGACCUGGGCUACCACCUUGCUACAAUGGGAAGUACAACGAAUCCCGAAAUCCCGAGGCUAACUAAUUCCUUAAACUUCCCCUCAUUUCGGAUUGGAGGGGGCACUCGCCUACUAGAACCCGAAUCCCUUUUAA
This 1290-nucleotide ribosomal RNA is filed under the name Enterococcus avium. RNAcentral's name for it is "bacterial SSU rRNA". It matches the Rfam family "Bacterial small subunit ribosomal RNA", at positions 69 to 1341 of the family's 1533-position model. The record is from RNAcentral. Lineage: Bacteria; Bacillati; Bacillota; Bacilli; Lactobacillales; Enterococcaceae.